UCUUUCGUGUCCUUCUUGUCUCUGUGUCGUCGUUUUGUUCUCGCGCUAUAACUAUCGUCAUGCCUUUUUCUGCGUUGCUAAAUCGCGCUUCGCGUCUUUAAUUAUCGCCAGGUGACCUAACUGGCCUCGACUGGCAAAAACAACGUCAAUCAAGUAAGGUAUGCAUCGUUUAUUGCGAGUGUCCAAGCCGGUACAACCAAUGUAUACGGUCAGGUCUGAACAAGACAAGUCACUCAUACAUAUCGAAAUGUUUCAACCCAUGUGUAAUGACCGGCCUGCUGAGAAUGCAGCGAACAUGUAUGCUCAAGGAACAGUUAUGAGGUUACCUUCACGACCAAAAUCUACCAUCCGAACGUUAGCGACGAGGGUGACAUCUCUCUUGGCAAACUGCACUGAAACUGGUCGCCGCAGACGACAGUGGGCCGACUGCUGCUCUCCAUCUGUUGCCUGCUACGCGAGCCAGACCUCCAGGCUGCCGUCAACGAAGAUGUGGGCAUUUACUACGCGCAAGAAAUUCGCGUGUUCCACGCAAUCAACAAGCAGUGGACCUAUAUGCACGCGUUUUAAGGUCUUUGUAGCUGGAGCCAUCGGUUUGUAAUGAUACCGUCUCACCCUGGCUUUAGUAGGUGAUAAGCGGGACAAGUCUCGAAGACGUGCCCUCCGACAUCGGGGUCGCCGCUAUGUAAUCUCGAAAGCGAUGUAUUGUGUAUGCUGUCUUGGCGGCAAGCUUUGCACGUAGUCUGGUUUAUCGGGGUAAAAUGUGUCUUGUGAACGUUUUUUUUCCCUGGUCGACAGUAUAAGUUCUAUGCUGAGAUGA
This is a long non-coding RNA of Rhipicephalus microplus (southern cattle tick), 817 nucleotides long. NCBI's taxonomy places the organism in Eukaryota, Metazoa, Arthropoda, Arachnida, Ixodida, Ixodidae. The record is from RefSeq and is a predicted model, not a curated record.